GACGAACGCUGGCGGCGUGCUUAACACAUGCAAGUCGAACGGAAAGGCCCUGCUUUUGUGGGGUGCUCGAGUGGCGAACGGGUGAGUAACACGUGAGUAACCUGCCCUUGACUUUGGGAUAACUUCAGGAAACUGGGGCUAAUACCGGAUAGGAGCUCCUGCUGCAUGGUGGGGGUUGGAAAGUUUCGGCGGUUGGGGAUGGACUCGCGGCUUAUCAGCUUGUUGGUGGGGUAGUGGCUUACCAAGGCUUUGACGGGUAGCCGGCCUGAGAGGGUGACCGGCCACAUUGGGACUGAGAUACGGCCCAGACUCCUACGGGAGGCAGCAGUGGGGAAUAUGGCACAAUGGGCGGAAGCCUGAGGCAGCAACGCCGCGUGCGGGAUGACGGCCUUCGGGUUGUAAACCGCUUUCGCCUGUGACGAAGCGGGAGUGACGGUAAUGGGUAAAGAAGCACCGGCUAACUACGUG
This 468-nucleotide ribosomal RNA is filed under the name uncultured bacterium. RNAcentral's name for it is "partial 16S ribosomal RNA". It matches the Rfam family "Bacterial small subunit ribosomal RNA", at positions 28 to 507 of the family's 1533-position model. The record is from RNAcentral.